This 900-nucleotide ribosomal RNA is filed under the name uncultured beta proteobacterium. RNAcentral describes it as "bacterial SSU rRNA". It matches the Rfam family "Bacterial small subunit ribosomal RNA", at positions 58 to 955 of the family's 1533-position model. Lineage: Bacteria; Pseudomonadati; Pseudomonadota; Betaproteobacteria. The record is from RNAcentral.
CAAGUCGAGCGGCAGCGCGGGGCAACCUGGCGGCGAGCGGCGAACGGGUGAGUAAUGCAUCGGAACAUGUCCUGUCGUGGGGGAUAGCCCGGCGAAAGCCGGAUUAAUACCGCAUACGUCCGAGAGGAGAAAGUGGGGGACCGCAAGGCCUCACGCGAUUGGGUUGGCCGAUGUCCGAUUAGCUAGUUGGUGGGGUAAAGGCUCACCAAGGCGAUGAUCGGUAGCUGGUCUGAGAGGAUGAUCAGCCACACUGGGACUGAGACACGGCCCAGACUCCUACGGGAGGCAGCAGUGGGGAAUUUUGGACAAUGGGGGCAACCCUGAUCCAGCCAUUCCGCGUGAGUGAAGAAGGCCUUCGGGUUGUAAAGCUCUUUUGUCCGGAACGAAACGGUUAGUUCUAAUACGACUGACUACUGACGGUACCGGAAGAAUAAGCACCGGCUAACUACGUGCCAGCAGCCGCGGUAAUACGUAGGGUGCGAGCGUUAAUCGGAAUUACUGGGCGUAAAGCGUGCGCAGGCGGUUUUGUAAGCCAGAUGUGAAAUCCCCGGGCUCAACCUGGGAAUGGCAUUUGGGACUGCAAGGCUGGAGUGCGGCAGAGGAGACUGGAAUUCCUGGUGUAGCAGUGAAAUGCGUAGAUAUCAGGAGGAAUACCGAUGGCGAAGGCAGGUCUCUGGGCUGACACUGACGCUCAUGCACGAAAGCGUGGGGAGCAAACAGGAUUAGAUACCCUGGUAGUCCACGCCCUAAACGAUGUCGACUGGUUGUUGGGGGUUUGACACUCUCAGUAACGAAGCUAACGCGUGAAGUCGACCGCCUGGGGAGUACGGCCGCAAGGUUAAAACUCAAAGGAAUUGACGGGGACCCGCACAAGCGGUGGAUUAUGUGGAUUAAUUCGAU